Molecule: long non-coding RNA, 307 nt
Filed under: Trifolium pratense (red clover)
Lineage: Eukaryota; Viridiplantae; Streptophyta; Magnoliopsida; Fabales; Fabaceae
Description: long non-coding RNA (TPRA_LNC008381)
Source: RNAcentral
CCACGUUCUCAAGCGAGGACAGACAAAAACGAGAGUAGCUGAACUGAUCAGGCUUGAAAGGUCCUUUUCUUCAUUGGUAGAAGAGUUGACUUGCAAAGGGAAUCUUUACAGCUUUCAAAAAUAUCUUCAGAGGUUGAUGAAGCUUUAGUCACUCAAGAAGUUCUGAAGACUUCAUCAUCUGAAGGUUGUAACUUCUGAAGUCCAACAUCUUCUGAGCGCUUGUGAACUUCUGAAUUCACAUCCUCUGAGCUUCACUCAGAGCUUAUCUGAUGCUAAUAUCUGCGCACUUAAAAUAAAUUUUUAGUCC